GACGAACGCUGGCGGCGUGCCUAAUACAUGCAAGUAGAACGCUGAAGGAGGAGCUUGCUCUUCUGGAUGAGUUGCGAACGGGUGAGUAACGCGUAGGUAACCUGCCUGGUAGCGGGGGAUAACUAUUGGAAACGAUAGCUAAUACCGCAUAACAGUAGAUGUUGCAUGACAUUUGCUUAAAAGGUGCAAUUGCACCACUACCAGAUGGCCCUGCGUUGUAUUAGCUAGUUGGUGGGGUAACGGCUCACCAAGGCGACGAUACAUAGCCGACCUGAGAGGGUGAUCGGCCACACUGGGACUGAGACACGGCCCAGACUCCUACGGGAGGCAGCAGUAGGGAAUCUUCGGCAAUGGACGGAAGGCUGACCGAGCAACGCCGCGUGAGUGAAGAAGGUUGUCGGAUCGUAAAGCUCUGUUGUAAGAGAAGAACGAGUGUGAGAGUGGAAAGUUCACACUGUGACGGUAUCUUAACAGAAAGGGACGGCUAACUACGUG
RNAcentral lists this ribosomal RNA (495 nucleotides) under uncultured bacterium. Its description in RNAcentral is "partial 16S ribosomal RNA". It matches the Rfam family "Bacterial small subunit ribosomal RNA", at positions 28 to 507 of the family's 1533-position model. The record is from RNAcentral.